RNAcentral lists this ribosomal RNA (575 nucleotides) under uncultured bacterium. RNAcentral's name for it is "bacterial SSU rRNA". It matches the Rfam family "Bacterial small subunit ribosomal RNA", at positions 97 to 708 of the family's 1533-position model. The record is from RNAcentral.
GGCGGACGGGUGAGUAACGCGUGGGAACAUGCCCAGAGGUACGGAACAACAGUUGGAAACGACUGCUAAUACCGUAUACGCCCUACGGGGGAAAGAAUUUCGCCUUUGGAUUGGCCCGCGUUGGAUUAGAUAGUUGGUGGGGUAACGGCCUACCAAGUCGACGAUCCAUAGCUGGUUUGAGAGGAUGAUCAGCCACACUGGGACUGAGACACGGCCCAGACUCCUACGGGAGGCAGCAGUGGGGAAUCUUAGACAAUGGGCGCAAGCCUGAUCUAGCCAUACCGCGUGAGUGACGAAGGCCCUAGGGUCGUAAAGCUCUUUCGCCAGGGAUGAUAAUGACAGUACCUGGUAAAGAAACCCCGGCUAACUCCGUGCCAGCAGCCGCGGUAAUACGGAGGGGGUUAGCGUUGUUCGGAAUUACUGGGCGUAAAGCGCACGUAGGCGGAUUUGUCAGUCAGGGGUGAAAUCCCGGGGCUCAACCCCGGAACUGCCUUUGAUACUGCAAGUCUAGAGAUCGAGAGAGGUGAGUGGAAUUCCGAGUGUAGAGGUGAAAUUCGUAGAUAUUCGGAGGAACA